Molecule: ribosomal RNA, 253 nt
Filed under: uncultured bacterium
Lineage: Bacteria
Description: partial 16S ribosomal RNA
Rfam family: Bacterial small subunit ribosomal RNA
Source: RNAcentral
GACAGAGGGUGCAACCGUUGUUCGGAAUUAUUGGGCGUAAAGCGCGUGUAGGCGGCUUUGCAAGUCGGGUGUGAAAGCCCUCAGCUCAACUGAGGAAGUGCGCUCGAAACUGCAUCGCUUGAGUACCGGAGAGGAUGGCGGAAUUCCCCAAGUAGAGGUGAAAUUCGUAGAUAUGGGGAGGAACACCGGUGGCGAAGGCGGCCAUCUGGACGGAUACUGACGCUGAGGCGCGAAAGCCAGGGGAGCAAACGGG